UGUUGAGUGCAGCAGUUUCAAUUAUUUUGUGUUUAUUUCUUAUUCAGAUUUUGAAUUAAACUGAAUGAGAACCAUCUGGUUAUUCUUCCAAGGAAAAGCCGAAAAGGCAAACACCACCAUCACAGUCAACAAGUUAACCCAAUGACUGCCACUGGGUAGCAGUUACCCUUGAAUAGCUCUCCUUAGUUCCUUGGAAUGGGUCCACACUUAUUUUGAGUUUAACCUGCGCCUAUAAUCCAUUGACUGAAUCAAUUGGGGGUAACUGACGCGAGAGAUAAAAGACAACUGACUAACUAACGUGAUGUCAUUCACCAAUACUGUGCGUGCCAUCCUUCCGUCGCCCCAAGGCAUGGGGGAAUUGUACCUGUUCCAGCUACGCUGCCAGCAUAAUUUCACUACCCAACUGACGGCCUGGUGGGUCAACUUACCAAUCACUGACUCCUACUACCCCUGCUCUCAAGUCUCAACGGACCAAAGGACGACCAUGUUGUUCUAAACUACAGGAACUUUCUAAAUUGGCAUGGCAGACUUUAUGAGAAGGUAUGUCCUUUGAAGAAAAAGGGCAAUGGCUGCUGUCAACAAGGUCCCUUAUUGUUUGGUAACCCGUUGGCUGCUACCCUUGAAUCUCCCUAUUUACUUCCUUCUUGAUUUGAGGGCAAAACCUUCACUACUUAUCGUGGACUCCAUCCAUUGGUGGAAACUGAUGAGAGAAUGCUGUAAUUCAAGAGGAUACUGAUAAAUUGUGUAGUUGUUGGAUGCUUUACCAGUGCAUAUCUGGGCUCCCUUCUUUUCUGUGGCCCCGUUUCCCUAACUAACCACUAACC
Daphnia pulex (common water flea) is the source of this 824-nucleotide long non-coding RNA. RefSeq lists it as uncharacterized. The record is from RefSeq and is a predicted model, not a curated record. The transcript has 4 exons. Lineage: Eukaryota; Metazoa; Arthropoda; Branchiopoda; Diplostraca; Daphniidae.